RNAcentral lists this long non-coding RNA (1396 nucleotides) under Felis catus (domestic cat). RNAcentral's name for it is "lncRNA (ENSFCAG00000049094.1)". Lineage: Eukaryota; Metazoa; Chordata; Mammalia; Carnivora; Felidae. The record is from RNAcentral.
UGAUCUCGCGGUCCUUGAUCUCGCGGUCCUUGAUCUCGCGGUCCUUGAUCUCGCGGUCCUUGAGUUCGAGCCCCGCGUCGGGCUCUGGGCUGAUGGCUCAGAGCCUGGAGCCUGUUUCCGAUUCUGUGUCUCCCUCUCUCUCUGCCCCUCCCCCAUUCAUGCUUUGUCUCUCUCUGUCUCAAAAAUAAAUAAACGUUAAAAAAAAUUAUAAAAAAAAAAAAGAACUUGGGUAGGAUUUUCAACAUAUGCGUUGCUCCCUGUCAACUCUGAGAAAUAUUCUUGAAAUUUUUAGAAACAAAUUUUAAGAACCAAACAGGUCCUCUCUCCUGCUGCCUCCACCUCCCGACUGCACUACUUCGAGGAAGUACAACUUUAAUCAUCCACUUUAUCGACUAAAUUAUUCAUUUCUAGAGUCAUCGUUUCAACUCCCAAGAGCUCUUUCCUGUUCUAGGAUUGUUCACCAGUGUGUGUGGUUCAGAUUCGGUUCCAUAUGCCAUAUGCCUCUUACACUCUGUAGACAUGAUUGAUUCUAGUGACUGGGGACCUGUUAGGUCUCCUGUCAACUGUCCUCGGGAUAUCCUGACCUCUCUCCGCACACAUUCACCUCAGGAGUGACUUACAUUUUCUUGUCAUUUCUGGUAAUGCCACCUCCCACAGGACAGUGCCAGCAUCGUGUCACCAGGGGCUCACGCUUGUUCUUUAUUUUACAUCUGGAGUCAGCUGACCCUGAGUCACUGGAGGCCUGGAGAUGUACAUGGGAUGAUGGGCUUUAGUUUGAUUUGUGCAGUUUUCCCUGUAUCACCAUCACGGGGCUGGAGGACGAGGCGCACAGGGAUACAGACACCUCAGCAAUGGCACGGGCUCAUGAGCUCUCCUCUCCUGCAAUCCUGUCUCACCCCUGAGCCUGACCGCUGUGGAGUCCAGGGAUGCUCAGAAACCUCAUCCUCUCCCCACUGAUGCCAAGUCUUCUGCUUAGACAUCUCCACCUGGCUUACAGUCCAGACCCCACUCAGGCUUCUCAGUCAGAAUCCACCUGAGAGCAGAGCAGUGGGGGAUGUCCCCUUUCCUUCCACCCCAUGUGAGGCCACAGGACUAAGGAGAGAAGACCCAGCUGUCUUUCUCCUGCUCAGCCAGGCCCUCCUUAGGGUCUCCUUCAGCUCCAGCACCUGGACAGGGACCUGGACACCAGAAGAUGCCCUCAUCCCAGAUGAUGUUCAGUGAGUGAAGUUUUUCCAAAAGCCACACUAACCAACUUGUAUGCUCCCAGAGACAAAUGGCUAAGGAAGAUGUGUGGUAUAUACACAUUCAUAUAAAUAUGUGCUGCCACUUGUGACAACAUGGAUGGACAUUAGGGUAGAAUGUCUGCUAAGGGAAAUAAAUCAGACUGAGAAAGACA